AUUUGAGCCACCCACGCCGUCUUUGGGCGCGUCCAGUACUUCGGCCAAUUCGAUUCCUCUGUCCGUGUUCACCACGACGCGAUCGCCACGGCGGCAAGGAAUUCGAUUGAUGGAACCAACUCGCCCAACGUGUCCCAACGUUCCGCAGCGAACGAGAUAGCAGUAGAUCUCAUCCACGG
Molecule: ribosomal RNA, 179 nt
Filed under: uncultured eukaryote
Lineage: Eukaryota
Description: partial small subunit ribosomal RNA
Source: RNAcentral